RNAcentral lists this ribosomal RNA (118 nucleotides) under Ricinus communis (castor bean). Lineage: Eukaryota; Viridiplantae; Streptophyta; Magnoliopsida; Malpighiales; Euphorbiaceae. The record is from RNAcentral.
UGGUGUAAUCAUACCAACACUAAUGUAUUGGAUCCCAUCAUAACUCUGAAGUUAAACGUGUUUGGGCGAGAGUAGUACUAAGACGAGUGAUCCCUUAGAAAUCCUCGUAUUGCACCCU